AUGAAGUACCAAUUCAGCUUGCAUGGUGAGAUGAUGUACAAUGGUCUUGAUGCCUGGGUGCAUGGCUGGAACGACAAGGAGAGGACCAUGAUGCAGAGAGUUGAUCUCCCAAAUUGGAGAGGAUUACUACCGCCUGAUGUUGUGCUUCACAUGGAAAAUAUUGAUACUGAGAACGCCCAUGCUGUGCCCAUUGCGAUGCUUGUGACGCACAAGCUUGGUUUCCCACUCUGCAUGUGUCGUCUGGUACCUUACCAGGGCACGGUGAUGGACCCAUUGUACACGCAGGUGGGAUCCCCAGUGUAUGAGAGCAAGCACGGGGCGACCGUGCGCAUGCUGCUUAAAGGACUGAAAAUCCUGGGCACCAUCCUGUUGGAUGGCUGGGAGAUGGAUAUCUCCAAAUGGACUGUUCGGUACAACAUUGAUUUGCACAUAGCUUGUUGUAGCGGUGAAUCGCCUGGCUACAUUGCGCACUAUGCGGACAACUUCAAUGCUUACGAGUUGGAGGAAGCCGUUCCUCAUGUUGGUCUUUCACUGCGUCGGAAAAGGAUGCUCUAUGAGACAAUUGCCUGCUCGGGCAAUACGGCUCCUCACCCUGGAUUCAUGGAGGAAGUGGAGGAGGAGUAG
RNAcentral lists this ribosomal RNA (624 nucleotides) under Triticum aestivum (bread wheat). RNAcentral's name for it is "partial small subunit ribosomal RNA". Lineage: Eukaryota; Viridiplantae; Streptophyta; Magnoliopsida; Poales; Poaceae. The record is from RNAcentral.